UCUCAAUUCAAAGUACACGAGUACAGACUUGUGUUCUUUUGGAGUCUGGACUUGGGAGUUUGGUCUUGGGAGUCCAGACUCCGGACGACGGGAGGAGGUCUUUCUGCGAUUGGAACAGCAGCUGACUUGAUGACGUCACCACAUCAGCUGUUCUUGCUCCUGGGUUUACUCUAAUUAUUCACUGUAAAUUAUUUUUUACAGUCAAAUAAACAAAACAUCCUAAAAUUACAUUCCGUGACUCAACAACAGUAGUAUUUAUAAAAAGUCAACUGUCAGGAGUUUAUUUUCUCCUCCGCUACUGUUUCCGGUUGCUGGUGAAAUGCAUUCUGGGAUAUCUGCUGGCCAGAGUACGCACAAGUCUCCUCUGAUGCAUCCUCCGGAAAGUGGGAGGAUCAAGUCACAUCCGGGCAUUUUGACCGUGCUUUGCUAGAAGCGAACUUUGAAUCGUAACAUGUACCCGGGCUGCGACUGAUGACGUUUCACGAGCCACAAGUAGAGGAAAGUACGCACAAGUACGCUGAUUGAGAAACGUCGUUGGAUAAGCUCGCUAGCAGCAUGACUCAACGACGACAACCAAGAUGCUCAGUGGUCGGCUGCACAGAUCAGCACAAAUGCCUUCACGUGACUCCAGCUUCAGAAGACACGAGAUUGAAAUGAAUUGAUUUCAUAUAUGAAGGCAAUCUUCCUGCAAGAGUUGGCAAAUAUCUGUUAGUGUGCGCUUACCACUUUGAAUUGGACUGUUUUAUCAACCUGGGCCAAUAUAACGCUGGACUCGCUGGAAGGUUGAUAUUGAAAGGGGGGUCGGUGCCAUCUAUCCGUCGCAGGACUGAAGACGAGGGAAAUGCAAGCACACCUGUUCAGGGUGCGAGGGUACAUCACAUGGCCUGCCAGACGGACCCACCAAAGAUGUGCACACUUGGCACGCAGCUUUCUGUGAAAACACUGCAACCUCACUACAAAAGCACAGGUUUGUUUACCCUCCGUUACUUCAUCAUGUCAUUGUGUCUCCGUGUUAAAGUUGUAACAGCAUCUCAUUUUUUAAUUUGUUGUGACUCCAAGGAUACUGAAUAUCUGUUUUAUCAUAGGCACACAGAAAACUGUGCCCUGCACUGAUGUCGGUGUUGGAACCUCAGCUGUGGCCUUCGAAGCAUCACAGCCGUUCCUAACAUCGACACCAAUAAAGAGGCCAAGUAAGAGACCUCGCUCGGAGGAGGAAGAGGACGACCCUUUUGAGGGAAGUUCAAGUAUGGAUUUCGGAGAGCAACAGGAUUCUACCUAUGAUCCUAAUGACUCGGGCACAGUGUUGACUGAGUCGGCAGAUGUGACGUGACUGACUCGAUAUGUAAUCUAAACAUUUUAAUAAUCAGAUGGAUUACCAUCCUACACUUAUUUUAGCUGUAGCAGCAUGGAAGUUUUUUUUGUUUGUUGGUGAAAUCUUAUCUUUCUGUCUUUUUAAUAGAAUGGAAUCUUCCAACCCUGUUCAUAAGACACCCACAUAUAUUGUAUAUGAAAACUGCCUCCUGGAGCUGUUUGAGGUGUUCCCUAUGUGUCGGCGGGUGACAGAUGUGCAAACAAGAAGGGUUGGGACAUUCCUGUGUAGAACAGAAGUGCCCACACUGUCAGUUCUACAGAAAAUGGAAUAGUCAGCCUCUUCUUGGUGGCACUCCUGUUGGGAACAUCCAGCUGCAGUGUAUGCCACUGGUGCAUCUUUCUUCAAACUGGAGAAGCAGUACGAAAGAAAAGAGUUUGACCUCAGAUAUUCCACAGACAGGAAGUCUGGGCUGCUCACAAAAACCUUGGCAUGGUCAAAAACAGAGGGAGGAAGAUCGUCAUGACAACUGAAAUUGAAAGAAAUUCACUGACAUUGUUCGAUAUGUGAACAAAGUCCAGAAAUACAGCCGGUCAACCAUUGCUUUAUAAUCAGAGCAAUGAAGUCGGAGGGAGUUACCACAUGGAGAAAGAGGGUCUGAAAAGGAGCCUCGCUCUCUUGGAGGCACGAGGUGUGACAUUGGAUAUCAGUCACAGACCGGCACCCUCACAUCGACAUUCCUGAGGGAGGCCAACAUAUCACACUACUACAAUGUUUGCCACAUGGAAAAAGGACUGUCGAAGAAACUUGUCAAGAUUGCCCAGAACAAAGAAUGUGAGAAACUGAAGAAGUGGCUCCCCAGCAUAAAAAAACCACAUCUACUGGACAGCCGCUACGUCAUCAGGGCCAGAGAGAGCGGCAAAGUGGAGCUCCCUCCUGAACCACGUCCAAGACAUCCACUCCCAUCAUGACCCUGGGUUCCCCCAGUGUUUGCACCCGCUACGCAUUUCAAGGGACAAGAGCAAAUGGUUGACAGCAGGGACACCAGCCUUCAGCAGAUUAGAGAAGGUGUUGACCAACAAGAGGGUUCUGAACGAUGUGGGGAAGCUGAGCCCUCACUACCAGACCUCGUCGUUUGAGUCUUUCCACGGCGUAAUUCUGCGUUUUGCGCCUAAAAACGUAGUCUUUCCUUUUCGUGGAAUGUUAUGCAGCUAACAGUAUGAUAAUUUUUUCAAAGAAAUGUAUACCUAUUAUGUUUUAUACACGCAUGCUCUUAUAAGUAUUGUUUUCUCCCCAAAGACUCUACCUGGCAGUCCUGCAUUUCAAUGAAAAUGCUGGGCGUCCCCAAGCAACAAGUUCAGCUGGUGAGCCGCAAUUUAAAGUGAACUUCCCAAAAUAUAAGAAGGGCGAGUGCACUGCAGAGCCAACCUGCCAGUACGUGGAUAACCAGUUGGACCUCAUCUUUCACGAGGUUUUUCAGGACCCGGCCCCAUAUGUGAAUGAGGUGCUGAAGAUCCCAAUACCCGCGUAUCUCUCUGCCCAGUUUGAGAAACCUGACAAGCGGGAAGUUAUAGCCAGCUAUGUGUCGAGGUUCAAUGGAGGGCAGGUCUGAACCCCGUAUACCUUCCUUGAGCAUCAGGGAGCACGACGCAGGACGGCAGGACCACCCAGAUCGCCCCAACACCAGCUCACGAAGCUUCUGUACGCCAAACACCUGUAACGUCUAAGCAAAGUUUACAUUGUAUAAGAGAAUAAAAGGUGAUACACAUAUAUAAAGUGUGCCUUUGUUUACAGUAUGGCUACAGAUGGCACAGAGUAAUUUUGUAAUCAAUGUUUUUAUUAUACUUUUUUUGUAUUUAUUACAUAUGUACCAGCCAGUACAUUUAAUAACUGUUUAAAAAGCUCUGGCAUUCUUUCUCGCAAUCUUUUUGACAAUAAAAGUGUAUAGAAACAGU
Pseudoliparis swirei is the source of this 3264-nucleotide long non-coding RNA. RefSeq lists it as uncharacterized. The transcript has 6 exons. The record is from RefSeq and is a predicted model, not a curated record. Lineage: Eukaryota; Metazoa; Chordata; Actinopteri; Perciformes; Liparidae.